RNAcentral lists this ribosomal RNA (253 nucleotides) under uncultured bacterium. RNAcentral describes it as "partial 16S ribosomal RNA". It matches the Rfam family "Bacterial small subunit ribosomal RNA", at positions 524 to 776 of the family's 1533-position model. The record is from RNAcentral.
UACGUAGGGUGCGAGCGUUGUCCGGAAUUAUUGGGCGUAAAGGGCUCGUAGGCGGUUUGUCGCGUCGGGAGUGAAAACCCAGGGCUUAACCCUGGGCUGGCUUCCGAUACGGGCAGACUAGAGGUAUGCAGGGGAGAACGGAAUUCCUGGUGUAGCGGUGAAAUGCGCAGAUAUCAGGAGGAACACCGGUGGCGAAGGCAGGUCUCUGGGCCACUACUGACGCUGAGAAGCGGAAGCAUGGGGAGCGAACAGG